RNAcentral lists this ribosomal RNA (434 nucleotides) under uncultured bacterium. RNAcentral's name for it is "bacterial SSU rRNA". It matches the Rfam family "Bacterial small subunit ribosomal RNA", at positions 355 to 786 of the family's 1533-position model. The record is from RNAcentral.
UGAGGAAUAUUGGUCAAUGGUCGGGAGACUGAACCAGCCAAGCCGCGUGAGGGAUGAAGGUACAGAGUAUCGUAAACCUCUUUUGUCAGGGAACAAAAGGCGCCACGUGUGGCGCUCCGAGUGUACCUGAAGAAAAAGCAUCGGCUAACUCCGUGCCAGCAGCCGCGGUAAUACGGAGGAUGCGAGCGUUAUCCGGAUUUAUUGGGUUUAAAGGGUGCGUAGGCGGCGAGUUAAGUCAGCGGUAAAAGCCCAGGGGCUCAACCCCGGCGAGCCGUUGAAACUGCAGUGCUAGAGAAGGCGAGAGGUACGCGGAAUGCGCAGUGUAGCGGUGAAAUGCUUAGAUAUUGCGCAGAACUCCGAUUGCGAAGGCAGCGUACUGGCGCCUGACUGACGCUGAGGCCCGAAAGCGUGGGGAUCGAACAGGAUUAGAUACC